RNAcentral lists this ribosomal RNA (743 nucleotides) under uncultured bacterium. Its description in RNAcentral is "bacterial SSU rRNA". It matches the Rfam family "Bacterial small subunit ribosomal RNA", at positions 33 to 773 of the family's 1533-position model. The record is from RNAcentral.
ACGCUAGCGGCAGGCCUAAUACAUGCAAGUCGAACGAUACUCUUUAGCUUGCUAAGGAGGAAAGUGGCGCACGGGUGCGUAACGCGUAUGCAACCUACCUUAAUCAGGGGGAUAGCCCGAAGAAAUUCGGAUUAACACCGCAUAAAAUCACAGUACAGCAUUGUACAAUGAUCAAAUAUUUAUAGGAUUAAGAUGGGCAUGCGUGACAUUAGUUAGUUGGCGGGGUAACGGCCCACCAAGACCACGAUGUCUAGGGGAUCUGAGAGGAUGACCCCCCACACUGGUACUGAGACGCGGACCAGACUCCUACGGGAGGCAGCAGUAAGGAAUAUUGGUCAAUGGAGGCAACUCUGAACCAGCCAUGCCGCGUGCAGGAAGACAGCCCUCUGGGUCGUAAACUGCUUUUAUUCGGGAAUAAACCUGCUUACGUGUAAGUAGCUGAAUGUACCGAAGGAAUAAGGAUCGGCUAACUCCGUGCCAGCAGCCCCGGUAAUACGGAGGAUCCAAGCGUUAUCCGGAUUUAUUGGGUUUAAAGGGUGCGUAGGCGGCUUUUUAAGUCAGGGGUGAAAGACGGUGGCUCAACCAUCGCAGUGCCCUUGAUACUGAAGAGCUUGAAUGAAUUAGAGGUAGGCGGAAUGUGACAAGUAGCGGUGAAAUGCAUAGAUAUGUCACAGAACACCGAUUGCGAAGGCGGCUUACUAUGAUUUUAUUGACGCUGAGGCACGAAAGCGUGGGGAUCAAAC